UUCUUACUGAUAUUAUUUGUAAGUAACACCUGCUCAAUGAAUCAUUUAAUAGCCGCGGAAAUUUAACCGUGCUAAGGUAGCAUAAUCAUUAGCCUCUUAAUUAGAGGCUUGUAUGAAUGGUGAAACAUUUCAAUUACUUUAUUAAUUAAUUAUUUUAAAUUUAAAUUAAGAAUAAAAAUGUUCUUAUAUAUUAAUUAGACGAUAAGACCCUUUUGAACUUUACUUUUGUUUAGCUGGGGCAGCUAAUAAAAUAAAAUUUUCAUUUCUUUAUAUAAAUAAAUGAUCCAAUAAAAUUGAUUAAAUGAACAAGUUACCAUAGGGAUAACAGCGUAAUAUUUUUUAAAAGCUCUUAUUUAAAUAAAUGAUUGCGACCUCGAUGUUGAAUUAGUGUAACUUACAGAUGCAAUAAUUUUAAAAGUAGGUCUGUUCGACCUUUAAAACACUACAU
This 448-nucleotide ribosomal RNA is filed under the name Cercidia prominens. Its description in RNAcentral is "partial 16S large subunit ribosomal RNA". It matches the Rfam family "Bacterial large subunit ribosomal RNA", at positions 1830 to 2601 of the family's 2925-position model. Lineage: Eukaryota; Metazoa; Arthropoda; Arachnida; Araneae; Araneidae. The record is from RNAcentral.